RNAcentral lists this ribosomal RNA (254 nucleotides) under uncultured bacterium. Its description in RNAcentral is "partial 16S ribosomal RNA". It matches the Rfam family "Bacterial small subunit ribosomal RNA", at positions 524 to 776 of the family's 1533-position model. The record is from RNAcentral.
UACGAAGGGGGCUAGCGUUGCUCGGAAUUACUGGGCGUAAAGGGCGCGUAGGCGGAUACUUAAGUCGGGGGGUGAAAGCCCGGGGCUCAACCUCGGAAUUGCCUUCGAUACUGGGUAUCUUGAGUUCGGGAGAGGUGAGUGGAAUGCCGAGUGUAGAGGUGAAAUUCGUAGAUAUUCGGCGGAACACCAGUGGCGAAGGCGACUCACUGGCCCGAUACUGACGCUGAUGCGCGAAAGCGUGGGGAGCAAACAGG